Molecule: ribosomal RNA, 334 nt
Filed under: uncultured bacterium
Lineage: Bacteria
Description: partial 16S ribosomal RNA
Rfam family: Bacterial small subunit ribosomal RNA
Source: RNAcentral
CCUACGAGUGGCAGCAGUGAGGAAUAUUGGUCAAUGGACGAGAGUCUGAACCAGCCAAGUAGCGUGAAGGAUGACAGCCCGAUGGGUUGUAAACUUCUGUUAUAAAGGAAUAAAACGAGGCACGUGUGCCUUUUUGCAUGUACUUUAUGAAUAAGGAUCGGCUAACUCCGUGCCAGCAGCCGGGGUAAUACGGAGGGUCCGCGCUUUAUCCGGAUUUAGUGGGUUUAAAGGGAGCGUAGGUGGGUUGUUAAGUCAGUUGUGAAAGUUUGCGGCUCAACCGUAUAAUUGCAAUUGAUACUGGCAGUCUUGCGUACAUUUGAGGUAGGCGGAAUUC